CUGGUGUACAAUGCCUAACUUGUGAAGCCUCUCAUAGCAAUCCAGAAUGAACUCAUAGGCAUCCUCACUCUCAAAACCAUGGAACACAUGCGACUUCAGCUUCAGAAACUAAGUCAACAUCUCAUGCUCUGCACCAGUUAUAAUAGGACCUAAUAGGGGACGAAAGAAGGCAUCAGUUCCUAAUGAUCCAUCCACCUUGGAAACAGUAGCAACAAUGGGG
This 220-nucleotide long non-coding RNA is filed under the name Solanum tuberosum (potato). RNAcentral describes it as "long non-coding RNA (STUB_LNC011658)". The record is from RNAcentral. Lineage: Eukaryota; Viridiplantae; Streptophyta; Magnoliopsida; Solanales; Solanaceae.